AUAAUGCAAAGUUUUCCUAGUAAGAUUUUUUUAUUUAAAUUGCAGCAAAGAUUUCAUUGAAAAUCUUAAGAUUUGUUUGGAUUAUACUAGGUAUACAAAUUAAUUGAAAUGAAACAAGGAAUCUAACUAAUUAAAAUUUAUGUCAAUGUUUUCAUUUUGUAUAUUAAAAUGAUGUUCAUUAGAAUUAGAAUUCUAUCAUUUUAUUUAUAAUUAAUGUAACAAGAUAUAUCAUUGAAAAUAGGUCCUAUUUAUAAAUUAUAUAAGCUAUUUAUUUUUUGGUUAUUGAACACCUCAAACAACAGCACCAGAUAAUAGGCAUUAAAAGUCAUUUCAUAAGUACAAGAAAUUGUAAAUGAUAUUAUGCUUUUGAUAUUAUGUUACAUCCUCAUAAAUGAAUUAGUCUAUUCUUUUGAUGAUUGGCAAUGAUUAAUUAUCCUGCUUUUACAGCCACUUGAUAUACUGCUGUUCAAUGUAUACAGAUGUGUUAACACACAGAGAUACAGCUUAUCUGAUCAAGAUAAGGACCAAUGAAAAUACAGGCUUCUGAACCGCUUUACACCUGUACACCAAAAAAUAAUCCCAAUCUUUCUGCUUGUUUUUUUUUCUCCGAGAUCUUUGCAAAUGCUGUGAGCAAAUAAAUGGUCAAAUUUUCCCAUGAACUGUAUACUUAUAUAUUUUAAGAACAUAGAUAUUCCCUUCAGUAACUAUAUUGUACCAAAGAAAAUGGCUCAUGAAUACAAAAAUUUGAAUGUAAACAGGAAGUUCGUUGUUCAUGUUGUUGGAGGCAAAUGGAAUAAAGCUAACUUGAAACUCUAAAAUGCAUUUAGAGAGGUAUCAGGUAAGAGUUUCAAACUUUCUAAAUGUAAAAUUUAAGUUUUACAGCUAUAUGUCACAGAUCUUGAAUAAAUAGACUGAAGCAGGAAUUUUAUUCAUCUCAGUAGAUUGAACUUUCGAUCGCCUGGUUACAGGUAACUUUUUCAGGUAUAUGUGAAUGAUAGAUCAUUUAUAAUGCUUCUAAGAAAACAGUUAAAUAUUCAAUACUUAAUUGUUGCAGUUGUCAAUUUUUUUAUUUUUUUUCAUAAGUACAAAUAUGUUAGUAAAAUCACUCUGAACCUUUGACUUACAACAGCCUCUAAACAUUUUCAGAUGAAAGAGUGUGCAUAUAUCUAGUUAUUAGAGGUAUGCCUAUAUGUAUGAAUUGAUGUAGUUGGAGAAAUCAGAUCGCUUCAGUGCAUGACUAUGCUACAGGAUGAUACAAGAUCACAGACAGAAAUUAGAUCAAGGAUCAAACAUAAAUUACAUAAUACUUCAGCUAAAUUAAAUGGUUGGAAUGAAGUUCCUGACCAUGGUGAUGGUUUUGGAAAAGCUAAGAGGCAUUCUGAUGCCACCUUAUAUUGAGACUACAAUACUCCAAAAUGAUUUUGUUGUAUUCAUAAUUUUCUAUCAAAUAAUCUUUUAGUUUAAUUUUUAAGUUUAAGCUAAGUGAUUUUUUAUUAUUCUUAACCACAAGUGUAAAAGCCGCUGGCAGAUGUGUUAUUCCCCUUUGAAUUUUAUUCUUUUUGUGUUUUUUGAAACCCAGAUCUGUCUCAAUAUUAGAUUAAAAUAAUUUUGUAAUGAUAUUAUUUCUUCUUUUUUUGUUUUGUGUCAAUAUCAGCAAUGUUUUCCAAUGGUUUUCCAUCAAACCUUUCCAAACUUUUGCAAAGAAUUCUUCUAAAAAUUCCUUCACAUUUAAUGCGAUGA
Long non-coding RNA from Mercenaria mercenaria, 1740 nucleotides. RefSeq lists it as uncharacterized. The record is from RefSeq and is a predicted model, not a curated record. The transcript is spliced from 2 exons. NCBI's taxonomy places the organism in Eukaryota, Metazoa, Mollusca, Bivalvia, Venerida, Veneridae.